AUACGGAGGAUCCGAGCGUUAUCCGGAUUUAUUGGGUUUAAAGGGUGCGCAGGCGGCCAUUUAAGUCAGCGGUUAAAUCGUGGGGCUCAACCCCAUUCUGCCGUUGAUACUGGGUGGCUUGAUUGCGGUCGAGGUUGGCGGAAUUCGUUGUGUAGCGGUGAAAUGCAUAGAUAUGACGAAGAACACCGAUUGCGUAGGCAGCUGACCAGACCGCAAAUGACGCUCAUGCACGAAAGUGCGGUGAUCGAACAGGAUUAGAUACCCUGGUAGUCCGCACAGUAAACGAUGAAUACUUGUUUUCGGCGAUAUAAUGUCGGAGGCAAAGCGAAAGCGAUAAGUAUUCCACCUGGGGAGUACGCCGGCAACGGUGAAACUCAAAGGAAUUGGCGGGG
Molecule: ribosomal RNA, 392 nt
Filed under: uncultured bacterium
Lineage: Bacteria
Description: partial 16S ribosomal RNA
Rfam family: Bacterial small subunit ribosomal RNA
Source: RNAcentral